AGCUUUUUGUUUUUUAAUAAAAAGUUUGUUCUGCUCGGUGUUGAUAAACAGCCGCGGUAAUUUGACCGUGCAAAGGUAGCAUAAUCAUUUGCCUUAUAAUUGGGGGCUGGAAUGAAUGAAUAAACAAAAGUUUUUCUUUAUUUUUAUAGGUUAAAUAAUUUUCUUUUUUGGUGAAGAAGCCGGAAUGAAAAAAAGGGACAAGAAGACCCUUUUGAGCUUUAUUUAUUGUGUCUUUUUUAGAAUUUAAGUAAAUUUGGUUGGGGCGACCUAGGAAUUGGAUCUUCCUUUAUAUAUAAUGAUCCGCAGAUAGCGAUAAAAAGAAUAAGUUACCAAAGGGAUAACAGCGUAAUUUUUCUUUAGAGUUCUUAUUAAAAGAAAAGAUUGCGACCUCGAUGUUGACUUAUAAUUUCCUUUUGGUGUAGCCGCUGUUAGGGU
This 435-nucleotide ribosomal RNA is filed under the name Ototyphlonemertes santacruzensis. Its description in RNAcentral is "partial 16S ribosomal RNA". It matches the Rfam family "Bacterial large subunit ribosomal RNA", at positions 1817 to 2572 of the family's 2925-position model. Lineage: Eukaryota; Metazoa; Nemertea; Enopla; Monostilifera; Ototyphlonemertidae. The record is from RNAcentral.